This 460-nucleotide ribosomal RNA is filed under the name uncultured bacterium. RNAcentral's name for it is "partial 16S ribosomal RNA". It matches the Rfam family "Bacterial small subunit ribosomal RNA", at positions 338 to 795 of the family's 1533-position model. The record is from RNAcentral.
CCUACGGGAGGCAGCAGUGAGGAAUAUUGGUCAAUGGACGAGAGUCUGAACCAGCCAAGUAGCGUGAAGGAUGACUGCCCUAUGGGUUGUAAACUUCUUUUAUAUGGGAAUAAAAUGUUCCACGUGUGGGAUUUUGUAUGUACCAUAUGAAUAAGGAUCGGCUAACUCCGUGCCAGCAGCCGCGGUAAUACGGAGGAUCCGAGCGUUAUCCGGAUUUAUUGGGUUUAAAGGGAGAGUAGGUGGAUUGUUAAGUCAGUUGUGAAAGUUUGCGGCUCAACCGUAAAAUUGCAUUUGAAACUGGCAGUCUUGAGUACAGUAGAGGUGGGCGGAAUUCGUGGUGUAGCGGUGAAAUGCUUAGAUAUCACGAAGAACUCCGAUUGCGAAGGCAGUUCACUGGACUGCAACUGACACUGAGGCUCGAAAGUGUGGGUAUCAAACAGGAUUAGAUACCCUAGUAGUC